GACGAACGCUGGCGGCGUGCCUAACACAUGCAAGUCGAACGGAAAGGCCCUGCUUUUGUGGGGUGCUCGAGUGGCGAACGGGUGAGUAACACGUGAGUAACCUGCCCUUGACUUUGGGAUAACUUCAUGAAACUGGGGCUAAUACCGCAUAGGAGCUCCUGCUGCUUGGUGGGGGUUGGAAAGUUUCGGCGGUUGGGGAUGGACUCGCGGGUUAUCAGCUUGUUGGUGGGGUAGUGGCUUACCAAGGCUUUGACGGGUAGCCGGCCUGAGAGGGGGACCGGCCACACUAGGACUGAGAUACGGCCCAGACUGGAACGGGAGGCAGCGGUGGAGAGUAUUGCACAGUGGGCGGAAGCCUGAUGCGGCACAGCCGCGUGCGGGAUGACGGGCUUCGGGUUGGGAACCGAAUUCGCCUGUGACGAAGCGUGAGUGACGGUAACGGGUAAAGAAGCACCGGCUAACUACGUG
RNAcentral lists this ribosomal RNA (468 nucleotides) under uncultured bacterium. RNAcentral describes it as "partial 16S ribosomal RNA". It matches the Rfam family "Bacterial small subunit ribosomal RNA", at positions 28 to 507 of the family's 1533-position model. The record is from RNAcentral.